Molecule: ribosomal RNA, 918 nt
Filed under: Triticum aestivum (bread wheat)
Lineage: Eukaryota; Viridiplantae; Streptophyta; Magnoliopsida; Poales; Poaceae
Description: partial small subunit ribosomal RNA
Source: RNAcentral
AUGGGUGAGACACUAAGGGUGGGCACACAUUUGGAUAUUGAAUCCGAGCUAAAUCUGAUCAAAGAGACCAGGAGAGAACUAAGGGAUGACGGUUCCACGGAGAAAGACGAGAGGAAAGUCAUGAAGAAACUUGGCCUCAAGAGGGCACGAAACUUUGGGUGGCCAAACACCUAUGUCUUCACUAAGGCAAUGGGGGAGAUGAUGAUGGGGCUCUUGCGAGGGGACUUUCCGGUAGUCAUCAUCCGCCCGAGCAUCAUAACCAGUACACUCAAGGAGCCAUUGCCUGGGUGGAUGGAAGGAAUUAGGACCGUCGACGCAGUGAUCAUGGGUUAUGCCAAGCAGACCUUACCAUUCUUUCUAGGCAACCUUGAUUUAAUACUCGACAUGAUUCCGGGGGACAUGGUGGUGAAUGCUAUGAUGGUUGCCAUGGCAGCACAUUCAGAUGAUCAAAAAGGUCAGAUCAUCUACAAUGUAACUUCGUCAGUAAGCAACCCAGCACCCUCAGCCCUAGUCAUAGAUGCAAUGCACCGUUACUUCUUUGAGAACCCGCCAUGCAAGGGGAACGGUGAGCGUGUCCGGCUGAAGAAGAUGCGAUUCUUUAGCACGCUCACACAGUUGAGAUUGUACAUGGCCAUCAAGUACAAGCUUCCUCUCGAGAUGCUUCGCCUAGUGAGCAUCGCACUCUGCGGCAUCUUCUCAGAAUGCUACAACGAGCUCAACGGAAAAUACAGUUUCGUCAUGCAGAUGAUCGAGCUCUACGCACCAUACACCUUGUUCAAAGGGUGCUUUGAAGACACGAACUUGGUGAAGCUAAGGACGACAAUGAAUAAGGAUGAUCAAAUUAACAAUGGAGCAUAUUACUUUGACUUUGAUCCCAAGUCCAUAAACUGGGGGUGGAGGGGUCCGUGGAGUUGGAGC